This 31-nucleotide non-coding RNA is filed under the name Rattus norvegicus (Norway rat). The record is from RNAcentral. Lineage: Eukaryota; Metazoa; Chordata; Mammalia; Rodentia; Muridae.
UGGUGUUGAGACUCCUCAAGGGAUCAUCAGC